GCUGAGGUGUAUCCUGAUGGGCUCUCUGUAGAUCCACAUCGUUGGAAAUGCUUCACAGAGGAAGACUGUGGUUCAGCUUUAAUCACAGAUCUGAGAAAUCUGUGAGAAGGAACUAAAAGAGAGAU
This 125-nucleotide small nucleolar RNA is filed under the name Dasypus novemcinctus (nine-banded armadillo). The record is from RNAcentral. Lineage: Eukaryota; Metazoa; Chordata; Mammalia; Cingulata; Dasypodidae.